RNAcentral lists this ribosomal RNA (1051 nucleotides) under Terribacillus aidingensis. Its description in RNAcentral is "bacterial SSU rRNA". It matches the Rfam family "Bacterial small subunit ribosomal RNA", at positions 76 to 1111 of the family's 1533-position model. Lineage: Bacteria; Bacillati; Bacillota; Bacilli; Caryophanales; Bacillaceae. The record is from RNAcentral.
GGGUGAUUCUGGCGGAAUGAGCGGCGGACGGGUGAGUAACACGUGGGCAACCUGCCUGUAAGACUGGGAUAACUUCGGGAAACCGGAGCUAAUACCGGAUAGUAUUUCCUUUCUCCUGAUUGGAAAUGGAAAGACGGUUUCGGCUGUCACUUACAGAUGGGCCCGCGGUGCAUUAGCUAGUUGGUGGGGUAAUGGCCCACCAAGGCGACGAUGCAUAGCCGACCUGAGAGGGUGAUCGGCCACACUGGGACUGAGACACGGCCCAGACUCCUACGGGAGGCAGCAGUAGGGAAUCUUCCGCAAUGGACGAAAGUCUGACGGAGCAACGCCGCGUGAGCGAUGAAGGCCUUCGGGUCGUAAAGCUCUGUUGUUAGGGAAGAACAAGUACGAGAGUAACUGCUCGUACCUUGACGGUACCUAACCAGAAAGCCCCGGCUAACUACGUGCCAGCAGCCGCGGUAAUACGUAGGGGGCAAGCGUUGUCCGGAAUUAUUGGGCGUAAAGGGCUCGUAGGCGGUUUCUUAAGUCUGAUGUGAAAGCCCACAGCUCAACUGUGGAGGGUCAUUGGAAACUGGGGAACUUGAGUGCAGAAGAGGAGAGUGGAAUUCCACGUGUAGCGGUGAAAUGCGUAGAUAUGUGGAGGAACACCAGUGGCGAAGGCGACUCUCUGGUCUGUAACUGACGCUGAGGAGCGAAAGCGUGGGGAGCAAACAGGAUUAGAUACCCUGGUAGUCCACGCCGUAAACGAUGAGUGCUAGGUGUUAGGGGGUUUCCGCCACUUAGUGCUGAAGUUAACGCAUUAAGCACUCCGCCUGGGGAGUACGGCCGCAAGGCUGAAACUCAAAAGAAUUGACGGGGGCCCGCACAAGCGGUGGAGCAUGUGGUUUAAUUCGAAACAACGCGAAGAACCUUACCAGGUCUUGACAUCCGCUGACAAUCUUGGAGACAAGACGUUCCCUUCGGGGACAGCGUGACAGGUGGUGCAUGGUUGUCGUCAGCUCGUGUCGUGAGAUGUUGGGUUAAGUCCCGCACCGAGCGCAACCCUUGAUUC